CGCUCAGGACGAACGCUGGCGGCGUGCCUAAUACAUGCAAGUCGAACGCUUCUUUUUCCACCGGAGCUUGCUCCACCGGAAAAAGAGGAGUGGCGAACGGGUGAGUAACACGUGGGUAACCUGCCCAUCAGAAGGGGAUAACACUUGGAAACAGGUGCUAAUACCGUAUAACAAUCGAAACCGCAUGGUUUUGAUUUGAAAGGCGCUUUCGGGUGUCGCUGAUGGAUGGACCCGCGGUGCAUUAGCUAGUUGGUGAGGUAACGGCUCACCAAGGCCACGAUGCAUAGCCGACCUGAGAGGGUGAUCGGCCACAUUGGGACUGAGACACGGCCCAAACUCCUACGGGAGGCAGCAGUAGGGAAUCUUCGGCAAUGGACGAAAGUCUGACCGAGCAACGCCGCGUGAGUGAAGAAGGUUUUCGGAUCGUAAAACUCUGUUGUUAGAGAAGAACCAAGGAUGAGAGUAACUGUUCAUCCCUUGACGGUAUCUAACCAGAAAGCCACGGCUAACUA
RNAcentral lists this ribosomal RNA (512 nucleotides) under Enterococcus faecium. RNAcentral's name for it is "bacterial SSU rRNA". It matches the Rfam family "Bacterial small subunit ribosomal RNA", at positions 21 to 503 of the family's 1533-position model. Lineage: Bacteria; Bacillati; Bacillota; Bacilli; Lactobacillales; Enterococcaceae. The record is from RNAcentral.